CGUGACUUCAAGAACACACGUAUAAUCUUAAGUAGAAAAUCUUAAUGAUCGUGAAUAGCAUAUACGUGGAUGGAAUAAUAAUAAAAAAAAAAGAAAAGGGAAACGGAGAAAAAAAGAAGUAAUUGGCAAUGCAAACGUUAAAAAUUGAAAAUUUCACGUUACGUCAACAUUUUAUAUGACACGCACGUCCAAACAAACAGCUAUAUUAACCAGAUCCCCGUCAAUCUACGAUCAAGACGGUCUUUCUAAUUCAUGCAUCGUGACGCCGUGUAUGGACGUAGGCAGACGAUGAUCUUGAGAUUAGAACGAGCUCCUCUCAUUCUGGAAUUCGCUGGGGACCGUGAAAGGUAAAUACAAGGAGUCGAAGGAGAAAAGGAAAAAUAUCUUUACAAAUUUAUGCGUGAAGCC
RNAcentral lists this unclassified non-coding RNA (408 nucleotides) under Bombus terrestris (buff-tailed bumblebee). Its description in RNAcentral is "misc RNA ENSBTSG00005036126.1". Lineage: Eukaryota; Metazoa; Arthropoda; Insecta; Hymenoptera; Apidae. The record is from RNAcentral.